Molecule: ribosomal RNA, 253 nt
Filed under: uncultured bacterium
Lineage: Bacteria
Description: partial 16S ribosomal RNA
Rfam family: Bacterial small subunit ribosomal RNA
Source: RNAcentral
UACGAAGGGGGCUAGCGUUGCUCGGAAUCACUGGGCGUAAAGCGCACGUAGGCGGAUUCCUAAGUCGGGGGUGAAAUCCUGGAGCUCAACUCCAGAACUGCCUUCGAUACUGGGAAUCUUGAGUCCGGUAGGGGACCACGGAAUUCCUGGUGUAGCGGUGAAAUGCGCAGAUAUCAGGAGGAACACCAGUGGCGAAGGCGGUGGUCUGGGCCGGAACUGACGCUGAGGAGCGAAAGCGUGGGUAGCAAACAGG